CCAGACUCCUACGGGAGGCAGCAGUGGGGAAUAUUGCACAAUGGGGGAAACCCUGAUGCAGCGACGCCGCGUGAGUGAAGAAGUAUUUCGGUAUGUAAAGCUCUAUCAGCAGGGAAGAAAAUGACGGUACCUGAUUAAGAAGCCCCGGCUAACUACGUGCCAGCAGCCGCGGUAAUACGUAGGGGGCAAGCGUUAUCCGGAUUUACUGGGUGUAAAGGGAGCGUAGACGGCGAUGCAAGUCAGAAGUGAAAGCCCGCGGCUCAACUGCGGGACUGCUUUUGAAACUGUAUAGCUUGAGUGCGGGAGAGGUAAGCGGAAUUCCUAGUGUAGCGGUGAAAUGCGUAGAUAUUAGGAAGAACACCAGUGGCGAAGGCGGAUUACUGGACGACAACUGACGGUGAGGCGCGAAAGCGCGGGGAGCAAACAGGAUUAGAUACCCGGGUA
This 444-nucleotide ribosomal RNA is filed under the name uncultured bacterium. Its description in RNAcentral is "bacterial SSU rRNA". It matches the Rfam family "Bacterial small subunit ribosomal RNA", at positions 331 to 792 of the family's 1533-position model. The record is from RNAcentral.